UUUAUAUAUAUUCUUUAUUUUUGGAGUGCAGUGAAAACAAACAUUGCGUAACAUUGACAUAGAUUUAAGUUGCAUUAUGAAUGGUUACAGGCUUCAAGUAUAAACUCAGUAUGUCAUGAGUAGCUGCACACAUUCUUUGGUUUAAAACGUAAAACAAGAAUUAGUCGCAGCGCAAGCGUAUACAGACAUGCAUUUUAUACCUUGUCGAGAUGGCCAACCGUUUAGCAUCACUAAGAUCGGGUCUAAGACAUGGUUUGCUAGGAGCUUGCGUUGUUACAGGUUAUUAUAAUAGGCUAGUGAAACCUUAGAAAGGUACAAACUGUUAUUGCCACUGGGAGAC
Molecule: non-coding RNA, 340 nt
Organism: Pelobates cultripes (western spadefoot toad)
Lineage: Eukaryota; Metazoa; Chordata; Amphibia; Anura; Pelobatidae
Source: the annotation of a GenBank genome assembly